Syncephalis plumigaleata is the source of this 72-nucleotide non-coding RNA. Lineage: Eukaryota; Fungi; Zoopagomycota; Zoopagomycetes; Zoopagales; Piptocephalidaceae. The record is from the annotation of a GenBank genome assembly.
GGGGGUUUAGCUCAGGGGUAGAGCAAUCGGCUGCAGUCCGAUAGGUCAUCGGUUCAAAUCCGGUAGCCCCCU